RNAcentral lists this unclassified non-coding RNA (26 nucleotides) under Mus musculus (house mouse). RNAcentral describes it as "oocyte_clustered_small_RNA6528". Lineage: Eukaryota; Metazoa; Chordata; Mammalia; Rodentia; Muridae. The record is from RNAcentral.
UAUCCUUGGCCUGCCUGCCUGCCUGC